Long non-coding RNA from Triticum aestivum (bread wheat), 951 nucleotides. RefSeq lists it as uncharacterized. Lineage: Eukaryota; Viridiplantae; Streptophyta; Magnoliopsida; Poales; Poaceae. The transcript is spliced from 2 exons. The record is from RefSeq and is a predicted model, not a curated record.
CGGAGGGGUUUUCAGAGGAUAAACCCCGCGAGGCCCAUAAUCCCCGCAAAUACCCGUUGGCCCAUUGGCCCAUUUGGUAGGCGCGGUUUGGACAGCCCAAUCCCUCAAAAAAAACCUAUUCCCACGCGCUUCAGAAUCAUCGAGGCCCCCCUCGAGGAUUUGGAGGGUGCUUGGAUACAAGGGACUAUUUUUAGUCUGACUAAAAAUAGUCUCUUUUAGAGGCUAAAGUUCCAAGCACCCCUGACUAAAGAGAGGUUAGGACUAGUCUUGAGGCUAAAAUCUUUUAGUCAUGGGAAACCUACUAAAAUAUGUAUUAGCUCUCUCUCUCCUCAUUUAUUCCUCUCCUUAGUUCUGGAUUGGAGGGUUUGGAGGAUAAUAAAUGCUCAAUAACUAGAUUUUAGUCUCUUUAGUACUUGAUCCAAGCAUGGGUGAGACUAGCAAGUUUUAGUCCCACUACUUUUAGUCAUGGGACUAAAAUGUAUCCAAGCAUGCUCUUGGCUGCUCAACUCGAGACGCCGCUGCCGACGCUGCGCCGCCUCCUCCCCAAGACGCCGCGCCACCCGACACCUCGACGCUGAUGAUCUCCUCCGGCAUACUGGACUUCUCGUCGGUGGGUUAUUAUGAGUAUUUGCUGCUUUCCAGGCUGGAGUUAGAUGCUUUCCGAGGGCACCAAGGCCGUCACACCUCCGCCUAAUUCGGCUGUCCCUGUGUCUUCUUUGGUGGAUGAGAUCAAUGGCACUCUGUAGUUAGCUGUUUGUGCUCUGUCCUCUUGUAACUUGUGUGGGAUCACACUGAUUCAUGAUCUAGAGAAAUAACAACAGCGCUUAUUUCAGUUCUUGCCAUGAUCAAGUUUGUGCUACAUCGUUUAGGUUGGAUCUGUUGUGCAAGCUUGUGUUUCUCUGUAAAUCACUGCAUAUGAUGGCUAUAAACUUGCUGAGAUGUUUCUGAUAA